RNAcentral lists this ribosomal RNA (239 nucleotides) under uncultured bacterium. RNAcentral describes it as "partial 16S ribosomal RNA". It matches the Rfam family "Bacterial small subunit ribosomal RNA", at positions 118 to 347 of the family's 1533-position model. The record is from RNAcentral.
UGGGUAACCUGCCUCAAAGAGGGGGAUAGCCUCCCGAAAGGGAGAUUAAUACCGCAUAAUAUGUUUAGGUCGCAUGACUUUAACAUCAAAGGAUUUUCUUUUAGAAAUUCCACUUUGAGAUGGACCCGCGGCGCAUUAGCUAGUUGGUGAGGUAACGGCUCACCAAGGCAACGAUGCGUAGCCGACCUGAGAGGGUNAUCGGCCACAUUGGAACUGAGACACGGUCCAGCUCCUAGGAG